Molecule: long non-coding RNA, 364 nt
Filed under: Musa acuminata (dwarf banana)
Lineage: Eukaryota; Viridiplantae; Streptophyta; Magnoliopsida; Zingiberales; Musaceae
Description: long non-coding RNA (MACU_LNC006939)
Source: RNAcentral
UUAGCCCCCCCUACAGUUGACCGAGUCCCUGCACCAAAAAGUUUGACAAGAGAAGAGCUUCAGGAGCGAUCUGCGAAGGGGUUAUGUUGGCAUUGUGACGAGCCGUGGAGCCGUGAGCAUCGCUGUAGUAGAGGGGGACUUCUUAUGAUUGAACCGAUAGAAGAAGAGGUCAUUGAACAUCCAAAAGAGAGCCUUGAACAUGAAGAAGAAGAUGUAGAAGAAGAGCCACAACCGACCGAAGUUACGGUACAUACACUAGCUGGCUACUCAAACCCACAAACGAUGAAAGUUGGAGGACUUCUCAAACAACAACCGAUCACUGUUCUCAUCGACACGGGCAGCACUAAUAACUUCCUAAACAGUA